This 244-nucleotide ribosomal RNA is filed under the name uncultured bacterium. Its description in RNAcentral is "partial 16S ribosomal RNA". It matches the Rfam family "Bacterial small subunit ribosomal RNA", at positions 534 to 776 of the family's 1533-position model. The record is from RNAcentral.
GCAAGCGUUGUUCGGAAUUACUGGGCGGAAAGGGCUCGUAGGCGGCCAGCUAAGUCGGAUGUGAAAUCCCCAGGCUUAACCUGGGAACUGCAUCCGAUACUGGAUGGCUUGAAUCCGGGAGAGGGAUGCAGAAUUCCAGGUGUAGCGGUGAAAUGCGUAGAUAUCUGGAGGAAUACCGGUGGCGAAGGCGGCAUCCGGGACCGGCAUUGACGCUGAGUGAGCGAAAGCCAGGGGAGCAAACGGG